Molecule: long non-coding RNA, 570 nt
Filed under: Felis catus (domestic cat)
Lineage: Eukaryota; Metazoa; Chordata; Mammalia; Carnivora; Felidae
Description: lncRNA (ENSFCAG00000050757.1)
Source: RNAcentral
GGUGGGCGGUGGGCGGUGCAUGCGCGCGGAGCGCAGCCGGAGACAGGAGACGCCCUUAGCUCAGGCAUGCUUUGUGUAGGGGAGAAAAAUACCCACGAAGGAAGCUUCUCAGAGGGUGACCAGGUGCACAGUUCAGCCAAGAGCAAUGGACAGCUAGUAAGCAGCUGAAGCAGGAAGUAGCUAUGGAUCCACCUCCCCUUCCCAGGCACCAUUUUGGCUACAGCGUGGAGGGUCCUGCUUGCUCUCCUCUGAAGAAUCUUGACAACUCUGUUCUUGGUCCCUUAAGAUUCGGGACAUGCUGCAGAACCUUCCCUACAGCAGACUGUCCUUGCUGUCUGGAGUAGGCUGUGUCCCCAACUCACUUUUCCCAGGGCUGCUCAGAGUCUGCUUUCUCUGAUGAGAGAACUGAAGCCACGUUCUGCACAGUGACGCUAGGCUUUGAGCCCAUGCCCUUCCAUACCAUGCUUUGCUGCUCUGGCUUAGGAUGAUGAAAGUAAUGACUCAGGAUGCCCCUGGGGAUUUGCACCUUGUGCCUGCUUUUCUUGACACCCCGCAAGGCCACACACCCGG